RNAcentral lists this non-coding RNA (944 nucleotides) under Galaxias maculatus (cowfish). Its description in RNAcentral is "12S ribosomal RNA". It matches the Rfam family "Bacterial small subunit ribosomal RNA". The record is from RNAcentral. Lineage: Eukaryota; Metazoa; Chordata; Actinopteri; Galaxiiformes; Galaxiidae.
CAAAGGCUUGGUCCUGACUUUACUAUCAGCUUUAACCAGAUUUACACAUGCAAGUCUCCGCACCCCUGUGAGGAUGCCCUUAAUCCCCCGGCCGGGGAUGAGGAGCCGGCAUCAGGCUCACCCCACAGCCCAAGACGCCUUGCUAAGCCACACCCCCAAGGGAACUCAGCAGUGAUAGACAUUAAGCCAUGAGCGGAAGCUCGACUUAGUUAAGGUUAAGAGGCCCGGUAAAACUCGUGCCAGCCACCGCGGUUAUACGAGAGGGCCAAGUAGAUAGACAUCGGCGUAAAGUGUGGUUAGGGAUUUGUCAGCUAAAGCCGAAUACCUCCAAGGCUGUUAUACGCACCCGGAGGUCUGAAGCCCCCUUACGAAAGUAGCUUUAUUACUAGACCUGAACCCACGACAGCCACGAGACAAACUGGGAUUAGAUACCCCACUAUGCGUGGCCGUAAAACUUGACAGCAAAGUACAAUUUCUGUCCGCCAGGGGACUACAAGCAUCAGCUUAAAACCCAAAGGACUUGGCGGUGCCUCAGACCCACCUAGAGGAGCCUGUUCUAGAACCGAUAACCCCCGUUUAACCUCACCUCCCCUUGUUAUCACCGCCUAUAUACCGCCGUCGUCAGCAUACCCUGUGAAGGGUUCAUAGUAUGCAAGGUGGGUAGAGCCCAAAACGUCAGGUCGAGGUGUAGCGUAUGAGGAGGGAAGAAAUGGGCUACAUUCCCUGUUUUAGGGAAAAACGGACGGGGGCGUGAAACGGCCCCCUGAAGGUGGAUUUAGCAGUAGACUGGAAGCAGAGAGUCCCGUCGAAACUGGCUCUGAGGCGCGCACACACCGCCCGUCACUCUCCCCAAGUCUAUUUUUUUGGUUCAUAAAAGCACUACUGGACAAAGGGGAGGCAAGUCGUAACAUGGUAAGUGUACCGGAAGGUGCACUUGGAAAAAC